Molecule: non-coding RNA, 114 nt
Organism: Erinaceus europaeus (western European hedgehog)
Lineage: Eukaryota; Metazoa; Chordata; Mammalia; Eulipotyphla; Erinaceidae
Source: Rfam
UUGGGCUACGGGGACAUGUGCCCCAAGACGUGGUCGGGCAUGCUGGUGGGGGCGUUGUGUGCGCUGGCCGGUGUGCUCACCAUCGCCAUGCCUGUGCCCGUCAUUGUCAACAAU